CAUGCAAGUCGAACGAUCCUUCGGGAUAGUGGCGGACGGGUGAGUAACACGUGGGAACGUACCUUUAGGUUCGGGACAACUCAGGGAAACUUGAGCUAAUACCGGAUAAGCCCUUCGGGGGAAAGAUUUAUCGCCUUUAGAGCGGCCCGCGUUAGAUUAGCUAGUUGGUGAGGUAAAGGCUCACCAAGGCUCCGAUCUAUAGCUGGUCUGAGAGGAUGAUCAGCCACACUGGGACUGAGACACGGCCCAGACUCCUACGGGAGGCAGCAGUGGGGAAUCUUGCGCAAUGGGCGAAAGCCUGACGCAGCCAUGCCGCGUGAAUGAUGAAGGUCUUAGGAUUGUAAAAUUCUUUUAGCAGGGACGAUAAUGACGGUACCUGCAGAAAAAGCCCCGGCUAACUUCGUGCCAGCAGCCGCGGUAAUACGAAGGGGGCUAGCGUUGCUCGGAAUUACUGGGCGUAAAGGGAGCGUAGGCGGGUUAUCAAGUUGGAGGUGAAAGCCCAGGGCUCAACCUUGGAAUUGCCUUCAAAACUGAUAACCUAGAGGAUGAUAGAGGUAAGUGGAACUCCGAGUGUAGAGGUGAAAUUCGUAGAUAUUCGGAGGAACACCAGUGGCGAAGGCGGCUCACUGGCUCGAUACUGACGCUGA
RNAcentral lists this ribosomal RNA (647 nucleotides) under uncultured bacterium. RNAcentral describes it as "bacterial SSU rRNA". It matches the Rfam family "Bacterial small subunit ribosomal RNA", at positions 54 to 749 of the family's 1533-position model. The record is from RNAcentral.